RNAcentral lists this ribosomal RNA (216 nucleotides) under Sceloporus orcutti. RNAcentral describes it as "partial 12S ribosomal RNA". Lineage: Eukaryota; Metazoa; Chordata; Lepidosauria; Squamata; Phrynosomatidae. The record is from RNAcentral.
AGAAAACUACNAGCNAAAAGNUUAAAACUCAAAGGACUUGGCGGUGCUUCAUACCNACUUAGAGGAGCCUGUCCUAUAANCGAUNCUCCCCNCUAAACCCGACCAAUCUUUGCCAAAUCAGCCUAUAUACCGCCGUCGCCAACCUACCUCAUGAGAGAAAAACNGUAAGUACAAAAGUUUCAAUAACUAAAACGUCAGGUCAAGGUGUGCUAAUAG